GCUUUUUCAAAGAUUCUAUAUCAAUUUUUAUAUGAAACCGAGAUAGAUACCUUUCAGAAAAUUCUAACUAUAGUGGAAAUGCUUCUAUGUUAUUCUUCUGACGGUGGGAGAAAAGAUAAAAUGAAAGCAAAGCUGAUUAUUAAUUUAAUCAAAAGUCAAGUUUGAAACUCAUGCUCAUGGAAUUAACCUCUUUUGGUUAACCCCCCAAAAAAAAGAAUAAAGAUAAAGAUCGAUCUAUGAGAAAUCUCAUUCAAUUCGAUAUACUAGAUUCAAAAACCCGGA
This 282-nucleotide long non-coding RNA is filed under the name Citrus maxima (pomelo). Its description in RNAcentral is "long non-coding RNA (CMAX_LNC004349)". The record is from RNAcentral. Lineage: Eukaryota; Viridiplantae; Streptophyta; Magnoliopsida; Sapindales; Rutaceae.